This 929-nucleotide ribosomal RNA is filed under the name Escherichia coli. Its description in RNAcentral is "partial 23S ribosomal RNA". It matches the Rfam family "Bacterial large subunit ribosomal RNA", at positions 222 to 1191 of the family's 2925-position model. Lineage: Bacteria; Pseudomonadati; Pseudomonadota; Gammaproteobacteria; Enterobacterales; Enterobacteriaceae. The record is from RNAcentral.
AAAUCAACCGAGAUUCCCCCAGUAGCGGCGAGCGAACGGGGAGCAGCCCAGAGCCUGAAUCAGUAUGUGUGUUAGUGGAAGCGUCUGGAAAGGCGCGCGAUACAGGGUGACAGCCCCGUACACAAAAAUGCACAUGCUGUGAGCUCGAUGAGUAGGGCGGGACACGUGGUAUCCUGUCUGAAUAUGGGGGGACCAUCCUCCAAGGCUAAAUACUCCUGACUGACCGAUAGUGAACCAGUACCGUGAGGGAAAGGCGAAAAGAACCCCGGCGAGGGGAGUGAAAAAGAACCUGAAACCGUGUACGUACAAGCAGUGGGAGCACGCUUAGGCGUGUGACUGCGUACCUUUUGUAUAAUGGGUCAGCGACUUAUAUUCUGUAGCAAGGUUAACCGAAUAGGGGAGCCGAAGGGAAACCGAGUCUUAACUGGGCGUUAAGUUGCAGGGUAUAGACCCGAAACCCGGUGAUCUAGCCAUGGGCAGGUUGAAGGUUGGGUAACACUAACUGGAGGACCGAACCGACUAAUGUUGAAAAAUUAGCGGAUGACUUGUGGCUGGGGGUGAAAGGCCAAUCAAACCGGGAGAUAGCUGGUUCUCCCCGAAAGCUAUUUAGGUAGCGCCUCGUGAAUUCAUCUCCGGGGGUAGAGCACUGUUUCGGCAAGGGGGUCAUCCCGACUUACCAACCCGAUGCAAACUGCGAAUACCGGAGAAUGUUAUCACGGGAGACACACGGCGGGUGCUAACGUCCGUCGUGAAGAGGGAAACAACCCAGACCGCCAGCUAAGGUCCCAAAGUCAUGGUUAAGUGGGAAACGAUGUGGGAAGGCCCAGACAGCCAGGAUGUUGGCUUAGAAGCAGCCAUCAUUUAAAGAAAGCGUAAUAGCUCACUGGUCGAGUCGGCCUGCGCGGAAGAUGUAACGGGGCUAAACCAUG